This 253-nucleotide ribosomal RNA is filed under the name uncultured bacterium. Its description in RNAcentral is "partial 16S ribosomal RNA". It matches the Rfam family "Bacterial small subunit ribosomal RNA", at positions 524 to 776 of the family's 1533-position model. The record is from RNAcentral.
GACGUAGGGCGCGGGCGUUGUCCGGAUUUAUUGGGCGUAAAGAGCUCGUAGGCGGCUUGUCGCGUCGUUCGUGAAAACCUGCAGCUCAACUGCAGGCUUGCGGUCGAUACGGGCAGGCUAGAGUUCGGUAGGGGAGACUGGAAUUCCUGGUGUAGCGGUGAAAUGCGCAGAUAUCAGGAGGAACACCGGUGGCGAAGGCGGGUCUCUGGAACGCAACUGACGCUGAGACGCGAAAGCGUGGGGAGCGAACAGG